RNAcentral lists this ribosomal RNA (540 nucleotides) under uncultured bacterium. RNAcentral describes it as "bacterial SSU rRNA". It matches the Rfam family "Bacterial small subunit ribosomal RNA", at positions 149 to 674 of the family's 1533-position model. The record is from RNAcentral.
UUUGGAAACAGAUGCUAAUACCGCAUAACAACGUUGUUCGCAUGAACAACGCUUAAAAGAUGGCUUCUCGCUAUCACUUCUGGAUGGACCUGCGGUGCAUUAGCUUGUUGGUGGGGUAACGGCCUACCAAGGCGAUGAUGCAUAGCCGAGUUGAGAGACUGAUCGGCCACAAUGGGACUGAUACACGGCCCAUACUCCUACGGGAGGCAGCAGUAGGGAAUCUUCCACAAUGGGCGCAAGCCUGAUGGAGCAACACCGCGUGAGUGAAGAAGGGUUUCGGCUCGUAAAGCUCUGUUGUUAAAGAAGAACACGUAUGAGAGUAACUGUUCAUACGUUGACGGUAUUUAACCAGAAAGUCACGGCUAACUACGUGCCAGCAGCCGCGGUAAUACGUAGGUGGCAAGCGUUAUCCGGAUUUAUUGGGCGUAAAGAGAGUGCAGGCGGUUUUCUAAGUCUGAUGUGAAAGCCUUCGGCUUAACCGGAGAAGUGCAUCGGAAACUGGAUAACUUGAGUGCAGAAGAGGGUAGUGGAACUCCAUGU